GAUGAACGCUGGCGGUCUGCUUAACACAUGCAAGUCGAACGAAGUCUUAGGACUUAGUGGCGGACGGGUGAGUAACACGUGAGAAUCUGCCUUCGGGUCGGGGAUAACAGUUGGAAACGACUGCUAAUACCGGAUGUGCCCAUGGGUGAAAGAUUAAUUGCCAGAAGAUGAGCUCGCGUCUGAUUAGCUAGUUGGUGGGGUAAAAGCCUACCAAGGCGACGAUCAGUAGCUGGUCUGAGAGGAUGAGCAGCCACACUGGGACUGAGACACGGCCCAGACUCCUACGGGAGGCAGCAGUGGGAAUUUUCCGCAAUGGGCGAAAGCCUGACGGAGCAAGACCGCGUGAGGGAGGAAGGCCUUUGGGUUGUAAACCUCUUUUGUCAGGGAAGAAAAAAUGACGGUACCUGACGAAUCAGCCUCGGCUAACUCCGUGCCAGCCGCCGCGGUAA
This 449-nucleotide ribosomal RNA is filed under the name uncultured bacterium. RNAcentral's name for it is "bacterial SSU rRNA". It matches the Rfam family "Bacterial small subunit ribosomal RNA", at positions 28 to 523 of the family's 1533-position model. The record is from RNAcentral.